AGGAUGAACGCUGGCGGCGUGGAUAAGGCAUGCAAGUCAAGGGGUCCCCUGUAGCAAUACUAGGGACACCGGCAGACGAGGUAGUAAUACGUAGGUACGCACCCUUUAGUCAGGAAUAACUAGCCGAAAGGUUAGCUAAUACUUGAUGGUCCGGCACUUUAAAAGGUGACGGUAAAGAUUUAUCGCUAAAGGAGCGGCCUGCGCAGUAUCAGCUAGUUGGUAAGGUAAUGGCUUACCAAGGCUAAGACGCUUAGGGGACCUGAGAGGGUGACCCCCACCGAUGGAACUGAGACACGGUCCAUACACCUACGGGUGGCUGCAGUCGAGAAUCUUCCACAAUGGACGAAAGUCUGAUGGAGCGACGCCGCGUGAAUGAUGAAGUACUUCGGUAUGUAAAAUUCUUUUAUGGGGGACUAAGUUUAUUGACGGUUACCCCACGAAUAAGGAGUUGCUAAACUCGCGCCAGCAGCCGC
This 473-nucleotide ribosomal RNA is filed under the name uncultured bacterium. Its description in RNAcentral is "SSU rRNA". It matches the Rfam family "Bacterial small subunit ribosomal RNA", at positions 26 to 518 of the family's 1533-position model. The record is from RNAcentral.